GGGGAAUAUUGCGCAAUGGGGGCAACCCUGACGCAGCAACGCCGCGUGAGUGAUGAAGGCCUUCGGGUCGUAAAGCUCUGUCGGCAGGGACGACGGGUGGAUUGUUUAAUAAACAGUUCAUUUGACGGUACCUGCAAAGGAAGCACCGGCUAACUCUGUGCCAGCAGCCGCGGUAAGACAGAGGGUGCAAGCGUUGUUCGGAAUUAUUGGGCGUAAAGGGCGCGUAGGCGGCUAUAUAAGUCUAAUGUGAAAUACCUUGGCUUAACCAAGGAAGUGCAUUGGAUACUGCAUAGCUUGGGUCUCGAAGAGGGCGAUGGAAUUCCCAGUGUAGAGGUGAAAUUCGUAGAUAUUGGGAGGAACAUCAGUGGCGAAGGCGAUCGCCUGGUCGAAGACUGACGCUGAGGCGCGAAAGCGUGGGGAGCAAA
Molecule: ribosomal RNA, 425 nt
Filed under: uncultured bacterium
Lineage: Bacteria
Description: bacterial SSU rRNA
Rfam family: Bacterial small subunit ribosomal RNA
Source: RNAcentral